ACGGAAGGCAGCAGUGGGGAAUCUUGCGCAAUGGGCGAAAGCCUGACGCAGCGACGCCGCGUGUGGGAUGAAGGCCUUCGGGUUGUAAACCACUGUCGGGAGGGACGAAGCUCUGACGGUACCUCCAAAGGAAGCACCGGCUAACUCUGUGCCAGCAGCCGCGGUAAUACAGAGGGUGCGAGCGUUGUCCGGAAUUACUGGGCGUAAAGGGCGCGUAGGCGGCCUGAUAAGUCGGGGGUGAAAUUCAGCGGCUCAACCGCUGGACUGCCUUCGAGACUGUUAGGCUCGAGCACGGUAGAGGCUGGUGGAAUUCCCGGUGUAGCGGUGGAAUGCGUAGAGAUCGGGAAGAACAUCGGUGGCGAAGGCGGCCAGCUGGGCCGUUGCUGACGCUGAUGCGCGACAGCGUGGGGAGCAAACAGGAUUAGAUACCCUGGUA
Molecule: ribosomal RNA, 436 nt
Filed under: uncultured bacterium
Lineage: Bacteria
Description: bacterial SSU rRNA
Rfam family: Bacterial small subunit ribosomal RNA
Source: RNAcentral